AGUGAACGCUGGCGGUAGGCCUAACACAUGCAAGUCGAACGGCAGCACAGUAAGAGCUUGCUCUUACGGGUGGCGAGUGGCGGACGGGUGAGGAAUACAUCGGAAUCUACUUUUUCGUGGGGGAUAACGUAGGGAAACUUACGCUAAUACCGCAUACGACCUACGGGUGGAAGCAGGGGAUCUUCGGACCUUGCGCGAUUGAAUGAGCCGAUGUCGGAUUAGCUAGUUGGCGGGGUAAAGGCCCUCCAAGGCGACGAUCCGUAGCUGGUCUGAGAGGAUGAUCAGCCACACUGGAACUGAGACACGGUCCAGACUCCUACGGGAGGCAGCAGUGGGGAAUAUUGGACAAUGGGCGCAAGCCUGAUCCAGCCAUACCGCGUGGGUGAAGAAGGCCUUCGGGUUGUAAAGCCCUUUUGUUGGGAAAGAAAAGCAGCAGGUUAAUACCCCGCUGUUCUGACGGUACCCAAAGAAUAAGCACCGGCUAACUUCGUG
RNAcentral lists this ribosomal RNA (492 nucleotides) under uncultured bacterium. RNAcentral describes it as "partial 16S ribosomal RNA". It matches the Rfam family "Bacterial small subunit ribosomal RNA", at positions 29 to 507 of the family's 1533-position model. The record is from RNAcentral.